This 2016-nucleotide long non-coding RNA is filed under the name Rattus norvegicus (Norway rat). RNAcentral's name for it is "long non-coding RNA NONRATT005282". Lineage: Eukaryota; Metazoa; Chordata; Mammalia; Rodentia; Muridae. The record is from RNAcentral.
CCAUCAGGUCUCUGCAUCACUCACCCAGGAUCUCGACUGAGGAGUGGUGAUGUUGCGGUGGGCAGCGGCCACACUCUCUCCAGGACUAGAUCGGCGGCUCAUGUGCGAGUGAACGAGGUCGACCCAGUGUGUGUGGCUGACCCGCCCGGUGCAACUCAGAAGGGAUUCCUUAGGUUGAGGAACUGCGGACUGGCUGAGGUCUGCGACCAUGAAGGUCAAAGUCAUCCCGGUACUUGAAGACAACUACAUGUACCUGAUCAUUGAGGAACACACACGGGAGGCCGUGGCUGUAGACGUGGCUGUGCCCAAGAGGGUGAGGGCCGACAAAGGAUGCCAUCAGGGGACUCCCGGAGCAGACCCUACCCCCUAAUUUUUCAAAUAAUUUGAUGUAUUAUCUUUGGAUUCCCAUGGAGUAUGGCUACCUUUGGUGUUUGUAGUCCCCCAGUAAUUGUAAUUGUCGGUCCAUUAUCUCCCCUAACUCUUGCUGUCCUGGGUCCCUGUGGAAUUAAGCACCUGAACCGAGUGCGCCAGUAUGGGGUGGGUGGCCCACCUGGCCGUCACUUCAUCCUUACCAGCUGCUGGAGAUUGCUGGCCGCGAGGGAGUGUCUCUGACCACGGUGCUGUCCACCCAUCAUCACUGGGACCAUACACGUGGAAAUGCGGAGCUGGCGCGCCUGCAGCCAGGACUGGCUAUCAUGGGAGCAGAUGAGCGGAUCUGCGCGCUAACCCGCAGGCUGGAACACGGAGAGGAACUUCAGGUGAGCAUGUAUCCAGAAGGGGUGGGGAGGGUCCUGGCCCCGGCCUGCCCACUGGCCCUCACGGGUCCAAUGCCUCACCAUCGCAGUUUGGGGCCAUCCACGUGCGAUGCCUCUUGACGCCGGGCCACACCUCUGGCCACAUGAGCUACUUCCUGUGGGAGGAUGAAUGCCCGGACCCACCAGCCCUCUUCUCUGGUACCUUGCAGCCUGGACUCACCUACCAACCCAAUUCCACUGUGUCCUCCCGACCCCCUUCUGACCCUCUUUGCUCCCUAGGAGAUGCUCUGUCAGUGGCAGGCUGUGGCUGGCACCUGGAGGACACUGCCCAGCAGAUGUACCAGAGCUUGGCCAAGACUCUGGGUACCCUUCCACCCCAGACGAAGGUGUUCUGUGGUCAUGAGCAUACGCUGAGCAAUCUUGAGUUUGCACAGAAAGUGGAGCCCUGCAACAGCCACGUGCAAGCUAAGCUGUCCUGGGCCCAGAAGAGGGAUGAUGAUGAUGUACCUACUGUGCCUUCAACGCUGGGCGAGGAGCUCAUGUACAACCCUUUCCUAAGGGUGACGUAAGUAUGGCUGUGUCCUAGGCCUUCCUGUGGUGGCCCUGAGCCGUAUCAGCGGGUAGGGCAACCUCAAGAGGCUGUCUGCACUGCCAGUUAGUCUCCCCAUGGAGCAGUCUCAGGACAGCCUGGCAUCCUUAGGGCCUCUUUGGCAGUCAUUUGAGUAGUUAGGAGGGUAUCUAGGGACUAUUUAUUGAGCUGAAUGUCCCUGGCACCAGAGAAGGGCAUUUGUUAAGGGCCCUCCUUCCAUCCACUGCCCUGCUGGGCCCCGCCCCCAUGGGCAGCUGGCCAGCCCCACAAUUCCCCAGCAUACUCUUCCCUGCAGAGAGGAUCCAGUCCGUGCGUUCACAGGCCAGGUGGCACCAGCCCAGGUCCUGGAGGUGCUCUGCAGGGAGCGAGCACGCUUCCAGCUUGCUUCGGAGCCUCCACAGCCCCAGGUCCGGGCACUCCUGGCCUUACAAUGGGGGCUUCUGAGCACAGGCCAGGAAAAGUGAACUGUGUGGGGAGCCUGCUUGUCUCCACACUCCUCUGAACCUCAGGCCGACUGGAACCCUGCCACCCUGACUGCUUAUGGAGCCAUACAAGUGUGGUCUGUAGGAGCUCUUGUGGGUCCAGAGACAUACAUCCUGGGGACUGAGGAGGGUAAAUAAAACUUUGAAAGGCGCAGUGUGGUACCACAGACACACAGCAGAUACUCAGAGG